Molecule: long non-coding RNA, 1249 nt
Filed under: Chrysemys picta bellii (western painted turtle)
Lineage: Eukaryota; Metazoa; Chordata; Testudines; Emydidae
Description: lncRNA (ENSCPBG00000007329.1)
Source: RNAcentral
CCACAUUCCCAAAUCCCUAGACUGGAGUGCCUGUGCAGCUAGGGCACCAGGUUGGAAAUAUAGGAAAGCCAGUCCUCCCACCACACCACACCCAUGCACAAGGCCCCUUUACUUCUGUUGCGUACAGGAGUGUAUAUGCUUUGAAAAGUAAGUAAGAUGAUACAGUUAGGUCCCUGGCCCCAAGAUUCUUAUUUAAACCAUCCAGAGGACAUUAUGGCAGCUCUUAUUUUCAUGGAGUGAAGAAGAGAGAGGCAAAAUAUUCCUCCCAAUAUAAAUGUUGUUAUGUAGCAAUGUCGUAUUAUUAUGUAAUCAUGAAAAAUAAAAAUAAAGUUAAACCCCUCCCCAAACCCUGAAAUAUAUAUUUAGAACUAAACUUUGAAUAAUCAGCCCUAAAUUAUCAGAAAAAAAAACCCACAUGCAAUGACACUUCUAAUUUGCACACAUAAUGACCACUUUUGUGCUUACAGUCAUGAUAGUUAUGCAUACAUAUUAGGUGCACAAAUGUUUACACAUUUCUAUAAGAAUAGUUCUUGCUUAUAUUUGUCCUAUUAAUCUUUUACAGACAAUGUUUGAUAAUUUAGGCACAACCAACUAGUGAAACAUGUCAUCUUUUUAUGAGUUACAUGAGCUUCUAAUUAGGUUUAAAAUUGCAUUUUACUGAGGAUAACUUUUUAAAUUGGGGAAACUGACUGAUAGGCUGUAUAGGAGUUAUUUCUUCUCACCAAAGGCCAGAACAAAAGUGUCACACUAGCUAUGUCAUAUUGUUGCCUUAUCUGGAAACAAUUAUGUUGUGGUUCUUCUGAAAUAAGAAAAAUUAGAAAAUCCACCCUAUUUCUUGCAGUGGCUGGUGGACACUUUCCAUAAUCUCUGGCAUGCCUAUAUUUUACUAAACAUAAAAUAAUCUGUCAUAUGAUUACCCGCCUUUUUUGUUGCAGCAAAUCAAUUUAUAGUAUUUUCACACUAUUGAGUAUUAAAGGGUAAAUAGAAAGUAGUUUAUUAUUAAUAUCAGACUUGAAAAAAUAUGCAUUAAAACAGUUAAUCAAAGUUGGUUAAGGACUAGACUGUAACUUGGGCUAGAUUCUCAGAAAUAGUUCAGUUCCUGUUUAGGUGCUUCCAUGAAUAAGCCAGAUUUUCAAAGAAGCUUUGUUGCUCUCAAUGAGAGCUUCUGAAUGCUGAGAACUUUGGAAAAUCUGGCCCUUUCAUAUAGAUGCCUCAGAGAUACCGGAAUAAAUUUGCAAACUGGAUACCA